Molecule: long non-coding RNA, 567 nt
Filed under: Mytilus galloprovincialis (Mediterranean mussel)
Lineage: Eukaryota; Metazoa; Mollusca; Bivalvia; Mytilida; Mytilidae
Source: RNAcentral
UAAAAAUAUCAGAAAUAUGUACAUAAUUAUUAUAAGAAAUAAUACUACUAGUAAUUGAUUUUGCAAAGACAAAAACUUUUGAUAAAUUGAUCACAAAUAAUGGCAUGUCUUCUGCAUCAUUAAAAAACAGGACAGGUAUACAAGCCUGACCGUUUGUGGUUGUUUUGACAGAUUAAGAAUGUUUACAAAAUGUAUGUGAUGAAUAAAUAGCAAGAUACGCACACCCUAUCAGCUCAAUAGUUCUGGUUGCUGUGGGUUUUUAACGCUACUUUAAUUUGUCAUCCUUAAGCAACACGACGGGUGCCACAUGUGGAGCAGAAUCUGCUAACCUUCCGGAGCACCUGAAAUCACCCCUAGUUUUUGGUGGGAUUCGUGUUACUUAUUCUUUAGUUUUCUAUGUUGUGUCAUGUGUACUAUUGUUUGUCUGUUUGUCUUUUUCAUUUUUAGUCAUGGCGUUGUCAGUUUAUUUUCGAUUUAUGAGUUUGAUUGUCCCUCUGGUAUCUUUCGUUCCUCCUUUAUCGGUUCGUAAGAUUUGAUGAUUUGUAUUUAUACAUACCUAAAUACAGC